RNAcentral lists this non-coding RNA (179 nucleotides) under Lacticaseibacillus casei. RNAcentral's name for it is "Lactobacillus casei Lysine sequence". It matches the Rfam family "Lysine riboswitch aptamer". Rfam says of the family: Riboswitches are metabolite binding domains within certain messenger RNAs that serve as precision sensors for their corresponding targets. Lineage: Bacteria; Bacillati; Bacillota; Bacilli; Lactobacillales; Lactobacillaceae. The record is from RNAcentral. RNAcentral also lists the same sequence under 1 other name.
CAAACAGAUAGAGGUUGCAACCAACAUGAGUAGCUUGAUCGAGCGGGAUCCUUCGUGAUGACAUCAAGCCAAAGGGGCGGUGCCGAAAUGGGGGCGCCGGGAUCGGCAAACCUGUUGGGCCAGGAUUGAAUAAGUCCUGUACUGUCGCUUAGAAACCUAAGCGGGGCGCUAUCAUUCAA